GUUCGCUGUCCGCGACUCGGCGAGAAGUCCAUUGAACCUUAUCAUUUAGAGGAAGGAGAAGUCGUAACAAGGUUUCCGUAGGUGAACCUGCGGAAGGAUCAUUG
This 104-nucleotide ribosomal RNA is filed under the name Dichaea muricata. RNAcentral describes it as "partial 18S ribosomal RNA". It matches the Rfam family "Eukaryotic small subunit ribosomal RNA", at positions 1724 to 1831 of the family's 1831-position model. Lineage: Eukaryota; Viridiplantae; Streptophyta; Magnoliopsida; Asparagales; Orchidaceae. The record is from RNAcentral.